RNAcentral lists this ribosomal RNA (253 nucleotides) under uncultured bacterium. RNAcentral describes it as "partial 16S ribosomal RNA". It matches the Rfam family "Bacterial small subunit ribosomal RNA", at positions 524 to 776 of the family's 1533-position model. The record is from RNAcentral.
UACGGAGGGGGCUAGCGUUGUUCGGAAUUACUGGGCGUAAAGCGCACGUAGGCGGCUUUGUAAGUUAGAGGUGAAAGCCCGGGGCUCAACUCCGGAAUUGCCUUUAAGACUGCAUCGCUAGAAUUGUGGAGAGGUAAGUGGAAUUCCGAGUGUAGAGGUGAAAUUCGUAGAUAUUCGGAAGAACACCAGUGGGGAAGGCGACUUACUGGACACAUAUUGACGCUGAGGUGCGAAAGCGUGGGGAGCAAACAGG